ACUUAAAUUGAAGAGUUUGAUCAUGGCUCAGAUUGAACGCUGGCGGCAGGCCUAACACAUGCAAGUCGAACGGUAGCACAGAGAGCUUGCUCUCGGGUGACGAGUGGCGGACGGGUGAGUAAUGUCUGGGAAACUGCCUGAUGGAGGGGGAUAACUACUGGAAACGGUAGCUAAUACCGCAUAACGUCGCAAGACCAAAGUGGGGGACCUUCGGGCCUCAUGCCAUCAGAUGUGCCCAGAUGGGAUUAGCU
This 251-nucleotide ribosomal RNA is filed under the name Enterobacter sp. 10-1. Its description in RNAcentral is "partial 16S ribosomal RNA". It matches the Rfam family "Bacterial small subunit ribosomal RNA", at positions 1 to 246 of the family's 1533-position model. The record is from RNAcentral. Lineage: Bacteria; Pseudomonadati; Pseudomonadota; Gammaproteobacteria; Enterobacterales; Enterobacteriaceae.